CCUGCUUUUGUGUGUCUCUUCGUGCUCCCGCGGCGCCCCCCCAGCGCUCUCUCUCCGUCGCACGACCAGCACGCUGCCAGCGAGCUGCCACCAGCACCUGCCAUGCCCGCAGCAACAGCGGCGCUGUCACGGCAUGCUGCAACACCCCCAAGUGCUCCUAGACGGCUCUCCACACACCGCUCGGUCCCCGUGCGCUCCCCCAGCUGCCUCUGUGCAGGCCUGCGCUUGCUGUGGCUGUCACGUCGUUGCAGGCUUGGGCCACCAGCACUCCGCCCCUGCCGGCUACAUCACCCCCCACGAGCUGCACAUUCUGUACACGUUGGAACUUUUCCAGCGUGCAGUAGCAGCAGCCCCGCAGUCGCCUCACGAGCUCGCGCAGUGCGCGCGGUGUACGCACCGGCCGGCCAGCUGCAGUAUCCGGAGAAGCCGCGGGUCCGCGGGCCCUCGUCCGGGAUCUCGACGCCCUCAUUCCAUUCCCAUGUCGCCAACAGCUGUUUUAUCUCCAUGUCUCGCGCCUGCAUGUGCCUGCGCCUCGCACCCGGGCGCAACCUGUUGCAGCGCACUGAGCUCGUCCACCACCACCCAUGCCACACUGCACGCUCGCUCCCAGUGACACUUCUGUGUAGGCCUGGCUGUGUAGCUGCUGAAAUCGCUGACUCUGUCGUGAUACGGUCAUACCACCA
This 683-nucleotide unclassified non-coding RNA is filed under the name Ulva aragoensis. The record is from RNAcentral. Lineage: Eukaryota; Viridiplantae; Chlorophyta; Ulvophyceae; Ulvales; Ulvaceae.